Oreochromis aureus is the source of this 1065-nucleotide long non-coding RNA. RefSeq lists it as uncharacterized. The record is from RefSeq and is a predicted model, not a curated record. NCBI's taxonomy places the organism in Eukaryota, Metazoa, Chordata, Actinopteri, Cichliformes, Cichlidae. The transcript has 3 exons.
UAAAGACAGGACAAAAUACUAAUAUUAAUAGAAAUUAACGAUUUAAUAAACAAAUAAAGUCUAAGUUUGAAUAGAUGGAGCAACUUUAUAGAUGUCGUCGGAAAAAAACACGUGACACACACGUGAGUUUAAGUAGCAAAGCCGAAGAUUCAUAAAAACAGCGUUUGUGAAAUUGACUAAACCGCAUGUAAUGGACUGUAAAGACUGCGAGGGCAGUGUAAUGUAGCAACAGAGCUUCAAAAGGGAGGUGGCUGUAACGCAUCAGAGACGGAGAGAUAGAAGGACGGAGAGAAAGAGAGCACGCCACAGGAAGACCGAGAGGAGAGGAGGAGCAGCCUGAGCUGCCUGUCAGGUCCGCUAAUUGAGAAAAAAGUGACAGAACCAUCAAGACACAGAAAGGGAGGAGAAGAGGAGAGGAGACGAGAGAUGUUUGGCGGAGGAGGGGCAGUGCUAUGGUGGAUCUCUUCAGGUUUGACUAAUUGAAAGGAAGGGAUGCAGACUGGCACAGGAGAGAGAGAGAGAGGGAGAGAGAGAAUGAAAGAAGCAGGAGUAAGGAAGAGGAGAGGCGGGGGGUGCAGCUUAAAUCCUACAAAAGGAAAAGCAAGCAACUGCUCACAGAAGGAAAGAUGGACAACUGAAGAUAGGCUUGGAAAGGCGUAUCAAACAGAAGUGGAUUAGACAGGUGUGUGCAGGCAACUCUGUGUGUGUGUGUGCAUGCGUGUGUUUAUAUGUGUGGACAAAGAUAUGAGACUGCGAUUAUUUUUGGCAUAACUUAAGAAGUCAUUUGGACUGUGGCCAGCUGGCCUCGGGACUGCGAGGAGUCGGCAGGUUUUCUUUUUAUUCUUUACCCACUCCCCACCCUUUUUUCCCUCUGUUGGUCAUUUUUAUUUGUAUUCUUUUUUAUUUUUCCACUCAGUCGAUUCAGUGGAGUUUAUUCAAACAGUUCCAAACAUGAAAAUAAAUCUUUCAAAAGCUCGGUGGGCCUAAUUUAUUUUAACAGGUGUUGUGAAAAUAUUUUACAUUUACUGAAACAUUCAUUACACUGCAUCUGCCCCUGUUUUUGCA